This 465-nucleotide ribosomal RNA is filed under the name uncultured bacterium. RNAcentral describes it as "bacterial SSU rRNA". It matches the Rfam family "Bacterial small subunit ribosomal RNA", at positions 43 to 507 of the family's 1533-position model. The record is from RNAcentral.
CAGGCUUAACACAUGCAAGUCGAGGGGUAUAGGGAGCUUGCUUCCUAGAGACCGGCGCACGGGUGCGUAACGCGUAUGCAAUCUACCUUUUGCAGAGGGAUAGCCCAGAGAAAUUUGGAUUAAUACCUCAUAGUAUGUGAGAAUGGCAUCAUUUUCACAUUAAAGUCACAACGGUGAAAGAUGAGCAUGCGUCCCAUUAGCUAGUUGGUAAGGUAACGGCUUACCAAGGCAACGAUGGGUAGGGGUCCUGAGAGGGAGAUCCCCCACACUGGUACUGAGACACGGACCAGACUCCUACGGGAGGCAGCAGUGAGGAAUAUUGGACAAUGGGCGCAAGCCUGAUCCAGCCAUGCCGCGUGCAGGAUGACGGUCCUAUGGAUUGUAAACUGCUUUUAUACAGGAAGAAACACUACUUCGUGAAGUAGCUUGACGGUACUGUAAGAAUAAGGAUCGGCUAACUCCGUG